UUGACCUCGAAUCAGGUAGGACUACCCGCUGAACUUAAGCAUAUCAAU
Molecule: ribosomal RNA, 48 nt
Filed under: Beauveria bassiana
Lineage: Eukaryota; Fungi; Ascomycota; Sordariomycetes; Hypocreales; Cordycipitaceae
Description: partial 28S ribosomal RNA
Source: RNAcentral